RNAcentral lists this ribosomal RNA (40 nucleotides) under Boletineae sp. AW-2007a. RNAcentral describes it as "partial 28S ribosomal RNA". Lineage: Eukaryota; Fungi; Basidiomycota; Agaricomycetes; Boletales. The record is from RNAcentral.
GACCUCAAAUCAGGUAGGACUACCCGCUGAACUUAAGCUU